This 443-nucleotide ribosomal RNA is filed under the name uncultured bacterium. RNAcentral describes it as "partial 16S ribosomal RNA". It matches the Rfam family "Bacterial small subunit ribosomal RNA", at positions 338 to 795 of the family's 1533-position model. The record is from RNAcentral.
CCUACGGGAGGCAGCAGUGGGGAAUAUUGGGCAAUGGGCGCAAGCCUGACCCAGCAACGCCGCGUGAAGGAAGAAGGCUUUCGGGUUGUAAACUUCUUUUCUCAGGGACGAAGCAAGUGACGGUACCUGAGGAAUAAGCCACUGCUAACUACGUGCCAGCAGCCGCGGUAAUACGUAGGUGGCAAGCGUUAUCCGGAUUUCCUGGGUGUAAAGGGAGUGUAGGCGGGACUGCAAGUCAGAUGUGAAAACCACGGGCUCAACCUGUGGCCUGCAUGUGAAACUGGAGUUCUUGAGUACAGGAAGGGCUGACGGAAUUCAUGGUGUAGCGGUGAAAUGCGUAGAUAGUAGGAGGAACACCAGUGGCGAAGGCGGUCUUCUGGGCAGCAACUGACGCUGAGGCGCGAAAGCGUGGGGAGCAAACAGGAUUAGAUACCCCAGUAGUC